GGGGGCGGGUGUGUGAGGAGAGGCCGCGAGGGGCGCUGGUGGUGAGGGGGUGGCUGAGGAAGAGGAGGGAGAUUACAGCUGGAGGAAUUCUAAACAAUUCAAGUCUCCUUGUCAUGGUGUUUAAGUGCAUUGUGCUCCUGUCUGAACAGAGGAAAUCACUGAGAUGGGAGAAGUAAAUGGAGUAGUAAGAGGGAGCGAUCUGCCUGCCCCUGGGGUCAUAAGGUGGAAUUAAGGAUCAGGUUCUUCCAGAUCUUGGUCUUGUACUUCUUCCUGCAGACAAGUUGCCCUUAAAGCUUAUGAAUUAUGUGAGAAUAAAAGCUUCAGUUAGUGAGGUUUCAUGCCUGGUGAUUUUUACAGUGCCGAAAGGGAGGAAGAAGGUGACAAAACGGUGAAAAAUCAAGGCCGGGUCAUUCCUGCCAGACGAGGACAGAGUCCUGUAGCCAGUCAGAUGUGACGGGACGCGCCUGCUGAUGCUGCUACCAGGAAGCUCGAGAGAAAUGCGACUGAACGGUAGCUGUGCGCAUGUGCCUCUGGAGAAAGGAGGCUAUCUGUAAGCUCUUGCAAUGCUUUUCUCUGCCCAGCAACAUCCUUGCUGCUUUUUCUUACGUUCUGCUUAAGCAGCUGUUCUGCAUUUAUGAUCUGAUCUUGCCUUCAUACAGGGCUGUCUUCACACUGAGCCGCUGUCAUUGCAACAGCAGCUAUGUGAGAUGGAGGACAGGUCCUCGGAUUUGCUUUGAGUAAGCUUUAUAAACAGGGCAAAAGCAUGAUAGUUACUGCUCUCAGACUAGUGAGAGAGAGAAAGUAAGCUGCCAGUAAAAAAGGCAGUUCUGCAUCCCAAGGUGUGUGCUUCUAGUGCAUUUUGAAGCUACAGGCCAUGUUGAUUGCAGACUGUGCUUAGAACAGGUUACGGGUAAAAUCAAUUCAGUACAACUCAUGACUUGUGUCUAGCCAGUUCACCUUGGCACCAGCAGUGUACAGAUGCUUCCACAAAUAUAACUGAUCCUGAAUGCUAACCAGUUAAUUAAUGUCAAGCAGAAGGCCUGGAGAAAGAAGUCCCAACUUUUUUUUUAAGCUCAUCUAACCAGUUCAAGACUGUUUCUCAUUAAUCUAUUUGAAAUUUCACAUAGGCCUGUGAAAUCGGAGCAAGCAAUCCAUAUUUUAUGCUAGAGGAUAUUUUUAUGCUCUAUUCUAACCAUUCUUGAAAGCAGGUAUUUGCUACGGAGUUGCUGGAGCCAUCUGAACCAUCGCAGCAGCACUGCCUGGCUGCUCUGGAGGCCCGUCCAGCCUGGAGGUGUAGUGGUUGUCUGCAGCUGCUCAGCACAGCGGCCCCAGCGGCCCGCUGGCAGCUUUUCUGAGCUCAGGGAAUUAGCACCGCUCAGCUGGGAGUGUACGCCUCCCACUGGAGAGGGCUCCACUGCAGCAACAGGACAACGUCUGAUAAGAGAUGGAUGUUGGGUAGGUUUGUUCUUGGUGUCUGAAGUGAGCCAAAGCAGCAAGAAAAAAAGCCCCUCCUGUAUUUUUUUUCCACGUUUUUUGUGAUUGUAUUACAACAGUACUGUUUUGCCUGUACAGUGUGUUUAGUGUGGGCCUGGUGAGGGAUACUUACAGAGUCCCUCUCAUCUGCUGCUAGCUAGCCAGAAACAGCAGAAAAACCUGCUACAGGAUUGCUGUGGCUGUAAUUUGCAGUGCGCUACACGGUGCCCUGCAUUCACCGCCCAUCUGGGUAUUAAAGAAGUCCCCAUGCCUCCAGGGGUAAAAUGUUUUUCACUGACACGUGAGUGCUUUGCUUGGCAGCCUGGUCUGGCACGUCACAGUUCUGAUGGGCUUCUCCCAGGCUUUGCAGCACGGAGCUAAUAUAUCGAAUACAGGUACAGCAUGCGCACACAAAGGUAGUGGGAGGCUGUGCUGGCUUUUUUUUUUUUUUUUUUGCAGUGGUGUUUUGGGCUGUGGCCUCAAUUUAUGCCCUGUGGAUCUGCAGAAGUGGUGGUCUGGUUGCAGUUUUCUAUAGCUGUGUUCCCACCUCUGCAUCGGCUUUGAAGGUUUAUAGCUUUUUAAAAUGAAACAAGCUAAUAAAAAGGGAGCACAAGAUGGAAGCCAGAGUCCUCUAAGUGAUUAAUUUAAAAACAAAGACUGCUUCCUCAUGAUGAUAAGCUACUUGAUAUGUGUGUGGCAUGACCUAAUAGUUCCAUAACCUCUUAGUUCACCUGUCCUGGGGGGACCUUCUCACUCCUUCUGAAGCCUCUGUGCAGCCGUCACCUCCUAGCAGGUGCCGUUUGCAAGCCAAACAGGCUGCUCCUGAUUUCAGCUGCCUUGUUUUUAUGGUAGCUCUUUGCCCUCCCUACAUUACAAAAUACAUUUGUGAUAGGGAGAGAGGCACAAAAGCUGUGCUUUUGGUCACACAGUGGCCAAGUGACACAGCUGGGUCUGCUGCCUCUGCCCAGCUUGGAAUCUCUCCUCUGAGUUAGGGAGGCCGGGGUAAGGCAUACAGUAAUGCCCAGUAUGAUGAACCUGUUAGGGGACACUGGUUUGGUAAGUGGUAUUUUAUAUCAAAACCAGUUUGAAUUGCAAGUUGAGGUUGUGGACGCUUGGUAUAGCAUGUGAUGUCUUGCUUCAUGCCUAACAGAUACUGAAAUAUAUCACCCUUUGUCUUGCUGCCCCAAUAUCUGGGCUCAUCAGGACAUUUCCAGCGUCACUUUCAGCACACCCAGCUCUACAGUGACUGUGCGUUGCACUCUACAUUCUUCUACUCCAGCACUAGGUGUCCCCAAGGUGCAGAAAGGACUUUGGCUUUUUUAGUGUAAUCUAAGGGCAUGAACUCAGCCAAGGAACUUCUCGAAAUCAGGUUCCAGGUGAUAGAAAAGAGCUGAGGGGAUAUUCGGAGGCCUUCACCCUAACUCUUACUCACCCUUCUAGACAGAGCUCCUCAGGAGCUGGCAUUGGGCUCCACCGUGAAGAUUUAUUUUCACAUGCCUAGGAAGACGAGAGAGCAGUGGAGAGAGAACUUGCGUUGCCAGGUUGUUUCUGGGUCGUUGUGGGAGCUGAAGCACCUCAUCUACCCGGUCAUUAUCCAGACCUUUAGCACAGUCAUUUCCGAGCGCUCGCUGCAAUACACCUCUCACCGCAGCCUGCCGCUCCUUACAUUCAGCCAGAGUUGCUCCCUGGCUUGCCCUGCCCAGCUUGCAAAUGUGGCUUGUCAGCCUCUGCUUCUUCGCAAAUGAGUUGCGUAGGUACUGGGAGGAGGAGGCAGCUCAGCAGCCUGCCCAUCCCAUCCAGUCCUAAAGGCUCCUCGCUGCUUAGGUUUUCUGAAGUAGUUUGCCACGUGAACAGUGUGGGCAUAAAACUUUGUUGUUUCCCUAAAUGCUCAGCCUUUUGCAAACAGGAGGUCAUUUCCCAGGGGGGAAGACAAGCUGUUGAUGUGGUGGGCAGUCAGCUUGUCGCUUGGAUCAAAUCCAGAGCUGAUUAGCUUGGGCACAGCGGCGUGCUAACGCAGGCAGAACGCACCCAGCCUGGCUCCCAUCUAGAUAGCACGGACCUCCCCACGCUGCUCUCCUCUCCGCUGUCCCCGCAGUGCAGCGUGAGCUUGGGUCCCUGUCCUCGCCUGUGCUGGCAUGCCUGCAGCAAACCACAAUUUGCACCCAGCGCUGCUCACCUGCGUCUCGAUGUGUGGCAUACCCUCCCAAAGCAAAUAGUGAUUUUUGCCUGCCUGCACUGACUCAGCUCUGCUGAAGGCAGGAAUUGAACUAACCCCGGCCAGCGAAGACUAUGGGUGAAGGGUAUGUUCUGUAGUAUGUAGCAGGGCAUUUUCAAGAAAUUUGACUACGUCCCAGGAAUGCACUGAAGUGGGCAAUGCUGCGUUAAGCAAGAGAGCCUACCCUGAAGCCAUUAAUUUCUCCUCAGAUGUAAGCGCUGGGGUUUUUUUUUCUCCUGUCUGCAAUUACUAGCUAGCAGCUGAGAGUCGAAAGGAAUCUGGGCUAUCUGUAGGAAACAAGUACCUACUCCUUGCCUCCUCUCAGAAAACAAGGUCCUUCGUUACAGCCUGUCGUGGAAAGGGGCUCGCAGAUAAGGAGGGGCAGGAAACCUGCCAGGCUCCACGUUAGCAAGUCUAAAUUUUUUUCCAUAGUCCUAGCCCUGUGAGUCAGCAUUUCUAGAGCUUGGACGUGUUUAUAGCAGCAGUCGGUGGGAUGGUACCAGGUAUGUGAGGUGUGGAGGUACGUGUGUGUCUAAAAUGAGCAACCUUUUGCCCAAAUGCAAUCAAGGAAGUUACCGGUUGUAUUUCUGAAAUGGGACUAACGGGAAGCACGUACUGGGUAGGUACCCUGAAUGGUAAUUGCAGAGGAGUCAUCUGUACGGUAAGGAGUUUCCGAGUGAGUAAGGGAAUCAGAACCUCAUAAAGAAGGUUUGCUUAAUAUAUUGUGUUGUCGCAGUUCACUUAAGAAAAAGACUGGCAGAAAAAAAAAAAAAAAGAAAAAGAUUAUAUCCCAGUUUACUGGGAUAAAAAUAGCACUUUCCCCCUCAAGUGGUUAUAGACUCAUUUUACACUGGCUUGUCUAGUCUGGAAGGAAGGCCCCCAAAAUUGUACAGGUAACAAACCAAACCCUGAUGUUUCUCUUCAGGGCCCAGACCUGCCCUGGAAUAAGGAAUGUGAACCAUGGGGGAUCUUGUGUCACUGCAGGCUGAUGUCUGUGCAUGCGAGCUUGCCGCCCAUGCCUGGCCGGUCAGCCUGGCUGAAUCUCAUGGUAAAGGGAGGAAAUGUCAAAAACAGUAUAGAUUAUUUUAGAUCUGCAACCUCAGUUCUGCAAAGGUAUUUAUUUUGAAAAUUCUAGUUUCCAUAGCAAUGUAGUGCUGUUCUCUCUCAUCUCUCUUCUAUUACUCCAAUCUCAGCAGCCAUUAGAUACAUUAUCAGUGAAGCAAACCUUAGCAUUUUUUAUCUUUAGGGUGACUUUAUGUAUGUUGGUUCCUUAGUGAAUCAGAGUCAGUUAGUCAAGGAUUGACUCACAUCCUUUCCUGGGGCAGACAUGAGGUCUAUUGCAGUCUAAAGAUGAUAAUGAAGAAUAUUACUAAUUGGACUUUGUGUAUGAAGUCCUAGGCUACUUUCCAGUAGAGUGGGGGUCUUACAUCUAGGAUUCUGGUUCAACUCCAGAUGUGUAAGUUCUGUUAUGUCUUCAGAUUUUACUUAGGGCUCACCGUAGCUUCAUUAGGACAUAAUGAUCUUUUUUCAUGGAUAUAAUAAAUGAACUCUCGCAGUGUUGUUUUGUUCAGCUGCCAUUUGCCACCCCAGAGGUGACUUCUGGAUGCAGUUCCCCAUCCCGUUGUUAACGGAGUCAGUACUCAUGGCUCAUUCAUUCUCCUCUCUUAAUGGCCUCACCCAGGAUCAGAGAAGCUCCAGUGCUGCUGUGAGGGCAGGGCAGAGGCAGGCAGGCAGAGAGAGGGAUGGCCUUCCCUUCUGGGAGCAGCUAGCCAUUACGUCAGCUUUAGAUGGUUAAUGUAAAACUGACAACGUGACGCUUCUAAGAAACAGAAGAGUUGCUUCAUCUUUCAUGUACGUACAACCCGCUGCCCUUUGUAUUUAGAUUUCUGGUGUCUGUGUGUGUGGAGCUGAUUUGCCCGUAAUUGUUUGCUUUCUUCGGAGUCUUUUGAAGCUUGUCUUCAAGCCAGUUCCUUAUAUUAAAAAUAAAUUCUUCCAAGCCACCAAUAAAAUGUCAACUGUGAUUAAAGCCUGACUCCUCGGUUCGAGA
Cygnus olor (mute swan) is the source of this 5735-nucleotide long non-coding RNA. RefSeq lists it as uncharacterized. NCBI's taxonomy places the organism in Eukaryota, Metazoa, Chordata, Aves, Anseriformes, Anatidae. The record is from RefSeq and is a predicted model, not a curated record. The transcript is spliced from 6 exons.